UCCGUAGGCGGGUAAUUAAGUCAGAGUUGAAAUCCCACAGCUUAACUGUGGAACUGCCUUAGAUACUGGUUAUCUUGAGUUUUAGUGAAGUAGAUAGAAUGUGUAGUGUAGCGGUGAAAUGCAUAGAUAUUACACAGAAUACCGAUUGCGAAGGCAGUCUACUAACUAACAACUGACGCUAAUGGACGAAAGCGUGGGGAGCGAACAGGAUUAGAUACCCUGGUAGUCC
RNAcentral lists this ribosomal RNA (229 nucleotides) under uncultured bacterium. RNAcentral describes it as "partial 16S ribosomal RNA". It matches the Rfam family "Bacterial small subunit ribosomal RNA", at positions 568 to 796 of the family's 1533-position model. The record is from RNAcentral.